This 472-nucleotide ribosomal RNA is filed under the name uncultured bacterium. Its description in RNAcentral is "partial 16S ribosomal RNA". It matches the Rfam family "Bacterial small subunit ribosomal RNA", at positions 28 to 523 of the family's 1533-position model. The record is from RNAcentral.
GACGAACGCUGGCGGCGUGCUUAACACAUGCAAGUCGAACGGGAGUAUUGAAGAAGCUUGCUUUAGAGAUACUUUAGUGGCGGACGGGUGAGUAACGCGUGAGGAGCUGUCCGAUGCAGGGGGACAACGGUUGGAAACGACUGCUAAUACCCCAUAAGCCGAGAGGUAAAAGGAUUUAUCCGGCAAUGGAGGUACUCGCGUCCUAUCAGCUAGUAGGUGAGGUAACGGCUCACCUAGGCGAAGACGGGUAGCCGGCCUGAGAGGGCGAACGGCCACACGGGAACUGAGAUACGGUCCAGACUCCUACGGGAGGCAGCAGUGGGGAAUAUUGGGCAAUGGGGGGAACCCUGACCCAGCGACGCCGCGUGGGUGAAGAAAUCCUUCGGGAUGUAAAGCCCUGUUGUAUGGGAAGAGCGGAAGACGGUACCAUACGAGGAAGCCCCGGCAAACUACGUGCCAGCAGCCGCCGUAA